This 133-nucleotide small nucleolar RNA is filed under the name Dasypus novemcinctus (nine-banded armadillo). RNAcentral's name for it is "Small nucleolar RNA SNORA31 (ENSDNOG00000039920.1)". It matches the Rfam family "Small nucleolar RNA SNORA31". Rfam says of the family: ACA31 (SNORA31) belongs to the H/ACA class of snoRNAs which are thought to guide the sites of modification of uridines to pseudouridines. ACA31 is predicted to guide the pseudouridylation of U3713 in 28S rRNA and U218 in 18S rRNA. Lineage: Eukaryota; Metazoa; Chordata; Mammalia; Cingulata; Dasypodidae. The record is from RNAcentral.
AUGCAUCUCUGACAGACCUGAAAGAGUUAAUAUCUGCUGCUAAGGUUUCCACUAACGAUGCAAGAAAAAGAAGGUCCUUCUGCUUUCUGUCUGUCUGGUUGUGGCAGCCGAGACUGAAUGGGGGAAAACAGGA